GACGAACGCUGGCGGCGUGCCUAAUACAUGCAAGUCGAACGCACUCUCGUUUAGAUUGAAGGAGUUUGCUCCUGAUUGAUAAACAUUUGAGUGAGUGGCGGACGGGUGAGUAACACGUGGGUAACCUGCCCUAAAGUGGGGGAUAACAUUUGGAAACAGAUGCUAAUACCGCAUAAAACCUAACACCGCAUGGUGUAGGGUUGAAAGAUGGUUUCGGCUAUCACUUUAGGAUGGACCCGCGGUGCAUUAGUUAGUUGGUGAGGUAAAGGCUCACCAAGACCGUGAUGCAUAGCCGACCUGAGAGGGUAAUCGGCCACACUGGGACUGAGACACGGCCCAGACUCCUACGGGAGGCAGCAGUAGGGAAUCUUCCACAAUGGACGAAAGUCUGAUGGAGCAACACCGCGUGAGUGAAGAAGGUUUUCGGAUCGUAAAACUCUGUUGUUGGAGAAGAAUGUAUCUGAUAGUAACUGAUCAGGUAGUGACGGUAUCCAACCAGAAAGCCACGGCUAACUACGUG
This 520-nucleotide ribosomal RNA is filed under the name uncultured bacterium. Its description in RNAcentral is "partial 16S ribosomal RNA". It matches the Rfam family "Bacterial small subunit ribosomal RNA", at positions 28 to 507 of the family's 1533-position model. The record is from RNAcentral.